UACUAAUGAACAAGACAUAAUAGGAGGCAAUAAAGUACUUUUCAGUGAGUAGGUGGGUUUGAAAGGGAUCACCCGAAAAGGCACAAGUAUUUAGCCAGCUACUUAAAUGAAUGAAUGAAUGAAUGAAUGAAUAAUAGCAUGUUGAUGUAGGAGGUAUUCCUGAAAGCCUCUUAAAAAGUAGUUAACUAACCUAGAUCUGUUUGACCAGAUUACUUGCACUAUUGCAUUGGUUCAUCCAUACCAAACAGCUGCCUUCUUCUUGCCUGGACUGUGUUUAGUAGUUCUGUCUCUAAAGGAGUAAAAGAGGGACUGCUUUCCUAUAGAAAUCUAAGUAUAGGGGAGGUCUAUUGUACACAAUAAGCCAGUCUGGUCCCAAGUGAUGAAGUGCUUAGUCAAUACCACA
Molecule: non-coding RNA, 403 nt
Organism: Electrophorus electricus (electric eel)
Lineage: Eukaryota; Metazoa; Chordata; Actinopteri; Gymnotiformes; Gymnotidae
Source: RefSeq, a predicted model, not a curated record